This 393-nucleotide ribosomal RNA is filed under the name uncultured bacterium. RNAcentral's name for it is "bacterial SSU rRNA". It matches the Rfam family "Bacterial small subunit ribosomal RNA", at positions 28 to 416 of the family's 1533-position model. The record is from RNAcentral.
GACGAACGCUGGCGGCGCGCCUAACACAUGCAAGUCGAACGAGAGAUGAGGAGCUUGCUCUUCAGAUCGAGUGGCGAACGGGUGAGUAACGCGUGAGGAACCUGCCUUUCAGUGGGGGACAACAGUUGGAAACGACUGCUAAUACCGCAUAAUGCUUUUUGAUGGCAUCAUUGAAAAGCCAAAGAUUUAUUGCUGAAAGAUGGCCUCGCGUCUGAUUAGCUAGUUGGUGGGGUAACGGCCCACCAAGGCGACGAUCAGUAGCCGGUCUGAGAGGAUGAACGGCCACAUUGGGACUGAGAUACGGCCCAGACUCCUACGGGAGGCAGCAGUGGGGAAUAUUGGGGCAAUGGGGGGAAACCCUGACCCAGCAACGCCGCGUGAAGGAAGAAGGCC